This 2010-nucleotide long non-coding RNA is filed under the name Ananas comosus (pineapple). RNAcentral's name for it is "long non-coding RNA (ACOM_LNC024485)". Lineage: Eukaryota; Viridiplantae; Streptophyta; Magnoliopsida; Poales; Bromeliaceae. The record is from RNAcentral.
GGGUGUCAUAAUUUUUUAUUUUAAUAUUUUAUAGUUUAAAAUAUAUUACUUUCGUAUUAUAUAUAUAUAUAUAUAUAUAUAUAUAUAUAUAUAUAUAUUCUUCGUUAAUUUAUUUUAGUAAAUUAGUGACAAAUUAAGUUAAAACUACAAGAUCUUAAAGUGAAAAUUCGAUAAAUCAUAGAUAUUAAAGUAAAUAUUCGAUAAAUUAUAAGUGGAGGUAUCUAAAAUAAUUUAUAUAUGAUUUAACAAAAAAUUAACAAAAGUAUUAACGAAAGGAGAAAAAUAAAAGCACAUGAUACUAAAAUGAUACACUUUAAACCAUAGUGUAUUAAAGUGAGAAAGCAUAUAUUAAACUAUAAAGAUGGUAUUUGAAGCUUACCCUUAAUUAAAUUAAGAAAAUAAAAUAAAAAAUAAACUUCACUUUGUCCAUGUUGUUUAGGGAAUUGAGCUCAUUUGCUUGACGAAGAAUAGAGAUUUUGUAUAAAUCAUAGAAAAUUUUUUUAUAAAUACUUUCUUUUUUUUACUUUUUCUGUCUAAUUUUAAAAAUUUAUAUUUUACGCCCUCAAUAUUUUAAGUUAUUGCAUUUAGCCUCUUUCUGUCAGGGUAUUAUCACCAUUCUAUCCAUUUCUUUUAAUUUAUUACAAAAAUAUCCUUCAAAAUAAUAGAAAUAUAUUAAAAAAUUAUUUUUUUUUAGUAAAAGAAUAAGGGCAAUUUAAACAUUUUGCCCUCUCCAUUAACAUCAUAUCCUCCUGAAAACAUUUCUGAAAUUCUAAAGGGGAAAAAAUUAAGUUUUAGAAAGUAACAAAAAAGAAAAGGUGAAAAAACGAGUAUUUAUAGAAAUUUUUUUUGUAAUUUAGCUUUGUAUAAGAUAUAUUUUAUAGCGAGUAUUUAUUAAUGAGAAUCGAUACUAUCAGAAACUAGUUUUGAUGUUACUAGAGCAGAUAAAUUAUUGCAGCCUUAAUUUUAAUUUUUCUUUCUCUAGCAAUAUCAAGAAUAGCUUUGACAAUAUCACUUUUCUUUAUUAAUAGAUAAGCUUUGCAAAAUGUUUUGAUAUACCAUGAGUUAAAAUAAGGACAUGUUUGGUUCAUGAUAGGAAGGAGAAUGAGAAAUAAAAUUAGAUUGUACUAGAAUGAAAAAUGAAAUGACGAAUUAUCAAAAAAUAUUUAAUUUAUUAUUAGAAUGAAAAUCGGAGUGUAUUAUUUAUUGGAACAAUUAGAAUUUUAAGAGAGAUGAUCGGGUUUUAGUUAAGGAAGAGGAGAGCGAUCGAGGGAAGAAAAGAAAGGUGUUUGUGAGAGAGAGCUUUGUGUGAUUUACUUUAGAAUAGACUAAUUCAAGAUUCAAAAUUUGAUUGGGCCAUAAAUAGAUUGGAUUAUUAUUCUCACUCCAAAGUGAAAUAUAAAUUAGAAUCUGAGUUCUGUAAAACAAACAAUAACUAUCGAAAUUACUAUUUUUUUUUUUCUAAUUUCCACUACAACAGAAUUAGGUUAUAGGGACACAUGUUUGGAACACUUUUGAGUAAGUGUCUCAUUUAUGCUAAAACUUAAAAACACAUCUACUAAUGCCUAAAUAUAAAGCCAAAUCCAACCAAAAAUAAAAGAUUACUCUACUCAACCCACCACACCCAGUCCAUUUGACCCGAUUACAAAAAGAAAAGAAAAAAAAAGAAAAAAUCAAUUAUCAUCUUUUCUUCUCUCUUCACUCAAUCCAUUGAAAUUCUAGACGAAGAGCCUUUACUGUCGUCCUCCUCCGCCACCGCAGCCAACGAGAUAGAGUUUCGACGGUUGCUAAAUACUUUAAAUAAGUGUUGGUAAAUUAGCAGCACUCUGUUAGAUUAUAGCGACACUCUUUAACUGUCACUAUAUACCUAGCGAUCCCACAUAUAGCAAUAUUUUUAAAAGUGUCGGUAAUUUUAGCUAGCAGCACUUUUUUGACAUGUACCUAUAUUUAAAAGUGUCGUUAUAGACCAUUUUUAUUAUAGUGAAUUCGUAAUCUAAGUAUUUAUGGUAAUUG